CCCCAGACUCCUACGGGAGGCAGCAGUGGGGAAUAUUGCACAAUGGGGGAAACCCUGAUGCAGCGACGCCGCGUGAGCGAUGAAGUAUUUCGGUAUGUAAAGCUCUAUCAGCAGGGAAGAAAAUGACGGUACCUGACUAAGAAGCCCCGGCUAACUACGUGCCAGCAGCCGCGGUAAUACGUAGGUGGCAAGCGUUAUCCGGAUUUACUGGGUGUAAAGGGCGUGUAGGCGGGGACGCAAGUCAGAUGUGAAAACCAUGGGCUCAACCUGUGGCCUGCAUUUGAAACUGUGUUUCUUGAGUACUGGAGAGGCAGACGGAAUUCCUAGUGUAGCGGUGAAAUGCGUAGAUAUUAGGAGGAACACCAGUGGCGAAGGCGGUCUGCUGGACAGCAACUGACGCUGAGGCGCGAAAGCGUGGGGAGCAAACAGGAUUAGAUACCCGCGUA
RNAcentral lists this ribosomal RNA (446 nucleotides) under uncultured bacterium. RNAcentral describes it as "bacterial SSU rRNA". It matches the Rfam family "Bacterial small subunit ribosomal RNA", at positions 329 to 792 of the family's 1533-position model. The record is from RNAcentral.